Molecule: long non-coding RNA, 228 nt
Filed under: Mytilus galloprovincialis (Mediterranean mussel)
Lineage: Eukaryota; Metazoa; Mollusca; Bivalvia; Mytilida; Mytilidae
Source: RNAcentral
AUAAAAACCUUCAAGGGGGCCUGCAAAUACAUUUUAAUGUUGUUUUUUGGCUUCUUCAUACUUUUAUAAGCCGAUAGUCACUGUCAAAUUAAUUGUUUUGUUUAAAUUGUGGACAAAAUUGCUCUUUCAAAAUUUCAAUUUGGGAGCCUCCAUGGGGGAAAUCCCCCGCAAAUAGUGACAGUUGGCAGGUAUGGGCCAAUCUAAGAGGUCAAAAUAUGUGUAUUGUAU